UUUAAUAUUUUAGAUAUAGGUGCAGUUUGGAAACUGCUUAAAAGGGAAGUUGGGUGAAAGUCCCUCACGGUCCCGCCACUGUAAAAGAGGAGUUCUUAUAAAUGAUGCCACUGGAGUAGUUUGGGAAGGCUUAUAAGAAUUAUGAUACUUAAGUCAGGAGACCUGCCUAUAUUUUUAUAAUAUA
Molecule: non-coding RNA, 184 nt
Filed under: Clostridium magnum
Lineage: Bacteria; Bacillati; Bacillota; Clostridia; Eubacteriales; Clostridiaceae
Also listed under: 1 other name
Source: RNAcentral